AGUGGAAUUGCUGGGUCAAAUGGUAACUAUAUGUUUAACUUUUGUGGAACUUUCAGACUCUUUUCCAAAGUGGCUACACCAUUUUACAUUCUUACCAGCAGU
This 102-nucleotide microRNA precursor is filed under the name Marmota monax (woodchuck). Lineage: Eukaryota; Metazoa; Chordata; Mammalia; Rodentia; Sciuridae. The record is from RNAcentral.